GCCGAAAUAGCUCAAUUGGUAGAGCACCUGACUUGUAAUCAGGGGGUUGCGGGUUCAAUUCCUGUUUUCGGCACCA
RNAcentral lists this transfer RNA (76 nucleotides) under Acholeplasmataceae bacterium. RNAcentral's name for it is "tRNA-Thr". It matches the Rfam family "tRNA". From Rfam's summary of the family: Transfer RNA (tRNA) molecules are approximately 80 nucleotides in length. Their secondary structure includes four short double-helical elements and three loops (D, anti-codon, and T loops). The record is from RNAcentral. RNAcentral also lists the same sequence under 1 other name. Lineage: Bacteria; Bacillati; Mycoplasmatota; Mollicutes; Acholeplasmatales; Acholeplasmataceae.